This 446-nucleotide ribosomal RNA is filed under the name uncultured bacterium. RNAcentral describes it as "SSU rRNA". It matches the Rfam family "Bacterial small subunit ribosomal RNA", at positions 26 to 518 of the family's 1533-position model. The record is from RNAcentral.
AGAACGAACGCUGGCGGCAGGCCUCAAACAUGCAAGUCUAGGGGGCGUAGCAAUACGUCACCGGCGGACGGGUGCGUAACACGUGGGAAUGUACUUACUGGUUCGGAACAACUCAGGGAAACUUGAGCUAAUACCGAAUGUGCCCGAAAGGGGAAAGAUUUAUCGCCAGUAAAUCAGCCCGCGUCCGAUUAGCUAGUUGGCGGGGUAAAGGCCCACCAAGGCGACGAUCGGUAGCUGUUCUGAGAGGAAGAUCAGCCACACUGGGACUGAGACACGGCCCAGACUCCUACGGGAGGCAGCAGUUGGGAAUCUUGGACAAUGGGGAAACCCUGAUCCAGCCAUGCCGCGUGAGUGAUGAAGGCCUUGGGUUGUAAAACUCUUUCGACGGGGACGAUAAUGACGGUACCCGUAGAAGAAGCUCCGGCUAACUUCGUGCCAGCAGCCGC